UACGUAGGGGGCAAGCGUUGUCCGGAAUCAUUGGGCGUAAAGAGCGUGUAGGCGGCCAGAAAAGUCCGCUGUGAAAACUCGAGGCUCAACUUCGAGCUGUCAGUGGAAACUUUCUGGCUAGAGUCCGGAAGAGGAGAAUGGAAUUCCUGGUGUAGCGGUGAAAUGCGCAGAUAUCAGGAAGAACACCCGUGGCGAAGGCGGUUCUCUGGGACGGUACUGACGCUGAGACGCGAAAGCGUGGGGAGCGAACAGG
This 253-nucleotide ribosomal RNA is filed under the name uncultured bacterium. RNAcentral describes it as "partial 16S ribosomal RNA". It matches the Rfam family "Bacterial small subunit ribosomal RNA", at positions 524 to 776 of the family's 1533-position model. The record is from RNAcentral.